Lagenorhynchus albirostris (white-beaked dolphin) is the source of this 360-nucleotide long non-coding RNA. RefSeq lists it as uncharacterized. The transcript has 3 exons. The record is from RefSeq and is a predicted model, not a curated record. NCBI's taxonomy places the organism in Eukaryota, Metazoa, Chordata, Mammalia, Artiodactyla, Delphinidae.
CCCGAGAAAACAGAGGGAACCCACGCACGUGGACGUCCUCUGGAGAGGGCGCUGGGUGUGGAGAGAAGAGUGUGAUCCUGAAGUCGCGCAGACACGGGUUCAAAUCUCGCCUCUGCCCCUUGUUGGCUGACGGGCUUUGGAGAAUACGUUUCCAGUGAUCAAUUGGUGGAAGCUUCCAGAAGGAGAUGUAGCCUCCCUUUCUAGCCCCUUCCUGGGCUGUGCGAAUGCCGUGAAUACUAAUGGAAACAGAUGGCUCCCUUCCACGCCACCGCCAAGAGGAGGGAUGGCUAGGGCAAAAUUCCCCUGCAACAGAGAGGAGCCACCACGCUGACUCUAGCUAUCUUUCCAUAGCCUUUGGCC